This is a non-coding RNA of Hordeum vulgare subsp. vulgare (domesticated barley), 123 nucleotides long. The record is from Rfam. Lineage: Eukaryota; Viridiplantae; Streptophyta; Magnoliopsida; Poales; Poaceae.
AAGAUACUCCUUCCAUCCGAAAUUACUUGUCGUUAAAAUGAAAAAAAAAAUGUAUCUAAAACUAAAAUACGUCUAGAUACAUCCAUUUAUAUGACAAGUAAAUCCGGACGAAGGGCGUAUAUA